CGCGGCUCCUCCCCUGCUCCCUAUCACAGUCUCUCCCUUUCCUCCCCAUCGCGGCGACUCCUCUGCUCCCCACCACAGCCACCUGUGUUAUCCACGACCCUCCUCUCCCUCUACACCUUCUCCACUGAAUCAAUUGAUGCCACUAUAAUCUUUGUGCAGUAGAAACGGAUGGAUUCAUGUCAAGAACAGAAACGUCUGGCUUUACUACUACCUUCUCAUUUGCGGGUAAUUGACGCAGUUGAUCUCCGCUUAAAGCAGUGGACCGACUCUGUUCCUGUCAUCUCCUGCCCACGUCUCUGCUCCGAAGUUCGUCAGGUUACGCCCUCCGACAAUCAUCGCCAUUGAUGCGACGAAUUUGAGUUCUCGGAAUGUCAUCGCUGCAUCCCUAGCCAUCGUCUCCCUUCUCCCUACAGAUUCCCUUUUGUUUGGUAGAACCUGAAUUCACGAUUCUGGUAAGAAUUCUACACAAAGGAUCAAGAAACAUCGAUUCGUCAUUCAUUUGGGGAAAAUAGGAAUCAAGAAUAAAAUGUUGUUCUGCUAAGACGAUCCUUAGUGGCAGUUUGAGAAAGAGCCACACUUCUUGCUGACGUUUGUUUGCAUUUAAGAAAGGUGCUAGAUGUGCUUCAGGUUUUAGUGUGUGUGUUUCUAUAUCUAAGUGAUACCAGUGUUUUACUACUAACCAUGAUUUUAAGGCAUAUCAAUGUGCUUCAGGUUUUCCCCAAACAUAAGUUUCCUCAAAAAUGUUUUGUUAU
Molecule: long non-coding RNA, 752 nt
Organism: Triticum aestivum (bread wheat)
Lineage: Eukaryota; Viridiplantae; Streptophyta; Magnoliopsida; Poales; Poaceae
Exons: 3
Source: RefSeq, a predicted model, not a curated record